Molecule: long non-coding RNA, 3247 nt
Organism: Zea mays
Lineage: Eukaryota; Viridiplantae; Streptophyta; Magnoliopsida; Poales; Poaceae
Exons: 3
Source: RefSeq, a predicted model, not a curated record
UCUGGUUGCUUCUAGAGGAUGGCGGGAUCCGAAAUCUGUGACCCUCCGCGUCAUCUGAACCCUAGGGCCACGGCCCGCCACCAGUAGCUCGCUCGGCUCCAGAUCCCGCGCCACACCACAUAGCAUGGCAGAAGAUACAGCGUAGCAAGGUCCGGACGUUCACCAGAGGGCAGUGGGGAUGGGGAUGGGGCCGGCCCGCGUGCGCUCUCCGUGCGGGAGGCCUCGGCGGCGGUGCCGCUCCCGCACCCAUCGGCGGCGGCUGCGCUCGACCUUAGGCGGCGGGGCGGCCAGGCUGGCGCUGUGACCUGAAACGGUGGCGGGAUGGGGAGGAGGAAGGAGCACCUAGAGAGAGUCCGAGUGGAGGCGUACUGCUGGGACGUGUUCAAGCCAGUGGAGAUGGUGGAGAUCGACAGCAUGGAGAAGCUUGACGACGCGUUCAGGAUGGCAAGUUGGUGUCAGAAAUGCAUCUACCUAAUGCCCAGAAUGGAGAAGAUAGCAGGACAAUAUCCUGGGUUACUCAGACCUUACUCCUGCCCCUCUCUCCUGUUUAUUCUAUUAUCUGGCUCCAUUUGUGCAGCACAAAACUUAGCACUUUGUUUCAUUUUGGAAUAUUCUUGCUUUUAGUUUCUGAUUUAAUUGUAGCUUCUUGCUAAGUGAUUGACAUUAUCUGGUUCUUAUUCAUUUCAAGUUGUUCUUUCAAAAAAAUUGGAAUAAAAGUCAUUUUGGAAUCGUGUGGUUCUAUUGCUGCUAGCUUAGUAAGGUAAAAUAGCCUGACCUCGUCAACAAUUAGUUCUUUUUAGGAGAAAAAGAUGCAACAAAUGAGGAUUGAUGCUUCCCGCAAGAGUACAUGAUGUACAAUAUAUAUCUUUAGAUGGUUUCAUUGUUGUAGCUGAUACUAAGAAUGUAGCUUUUUUCUUUAUUCAAGGUGGUCGCAGCGAUCUGUGAUUGUUUAUGCCCAAAGCGUAGGGUUACCCGUCUUGUUAGCGCUACCUUAGUGCCGCUUUUUUGAACCCUAGACAUCUCAGAAGAGGUACCAGCUGUACUUUCACGGGCUUUAACAAAUUAUUUAGAAAGCCAUAUCGGGGUGAUCUCUCUGGUCUGGUGACCUGAUCUGAGUUUUUUUUGCCUUCAUUCAGGGGAAGCACUCGGAGAUGAAGCUGAAGCAGAGCAAACGUGAGACGCACCGUGGGCAUUCUCUAUCCAAGGGGAAGGUGUGACCUCAGGCCUCUUCUGUGCGAUGCAUUACUCUUAAUCCGUGUUUGCGUUGGUUGCUUUGAAUUAAUUGUCAUGUGCUUAUUUGUUAGCAGCCAAACAAAAAAUCGCUCAAGUUAUGAUAACCCGACUAUUCCUUGACCUAUUAUACCUGUUUCCUUAUAACUUCUUAUGAUUGCACAUCAUAAUUACUUGAGAACAUAUAUUUGUGAAUUGCUUUGGUGUCCCCAACAAACUAUUGUAUGUUCCAUAACACUAUAGACGUACAAAUAGUAAUUGGAAUUGUUUCUGUACAGAGUAAUAAUGAACAUGCAUUGGAUAAACAGUAGGAAACAAAAGAAGGGCAACAUCAUUACUCUGAUCCUCGACUUACAUUUCUAUUUGUUUUUCCUUCGUACAGUACAUUCCCUGUCAUUUGUUUGAAUGAUAUGUCAAGCUUUGAAUUCUCCAAAUCAUGCACAAUCAUAAGAAACACGUGCAGCUUAUUAGGCCACAAUUUUCCAUGCUUUUUGAUCAGUACUGAACCCCAUAAAUGGAGACUACAUUGUGUUUGACAAAAAACAUGCAUCUUUAAGUGUCGUGAUAAUUUUUUCCACAAAUCAACAACCAUAACCCAAAAUAAUGUAUCACUAAUAUUUAAAGCUGCUACUUCUAGUUUUCUCUAGAAACCUUUAUGCGUAUUUUGUGGACUUGCUCCUACUAAGGUUUUGCUAUUUGCAAAUUUAUAUAGAUCAGUCUCACCAUUCAAAAAGUGCUUGGAUGAAAGGGAAAAAGUUACCAUUCAAAAAGUGCUUGGAUGAAAGGGAAAAAGUUUGGAUGAAGGCAUUGGUCUAUAAAUUUUUAGAAAGUCCAAUAUGUGCUAAAUCCUAUGUAUUCGACAUUGUGUGUCCUAAUCUCCCCUUAUCAAAAAUAGCAUAGAGAAAAAAAGAAUAAGUGCAACACAAAUGCACAAAAAACAGUCAAUGUUUCGGUAAAAAUAUGCUUUACACUUUGACAGAAAAAAGAGGAAUAUAGAAUAAGUAGCAUAAACAAGAUACAUCAAAAAUAAUAAUGAGAGUACAAUAAAAAAUGUAGGUAUCAAGAUAUGGAUCCCACCUUGUGACCAAACUUACUUUUAUUUUGGCUUUACAGUUUGAUCUAUGGAAUGCUAAGUUCUUUUGCUUGCCAACUUUGCUCACUCAAGCAACUUCUUUCUUUAAAGUUAUCCUAUUAUUCAUGAUUUUUAUUUGGAUGUUUUGGACCUUUUCUUCAAACAUUAGCGAGAUGCAGUGCUAGUGUUGUUAAUAUACCUACUUGCAGGUUGCUCUUUUCUUAUAUUAUUUCCCUAUGUGUCGUGCUACAUUAUAAAUAUCAAGUAAUUUUAAUGGUACUUCUUUUCUGUAAGUAUACACAUUAAUCCUUGCAAAAGUUAAAUCUACAUGUGCAUUUAUUUAUAUAUCUAUAUACGCAGUGAACUUUAUGUACUCAAUCUAAAGAUCGUUCUAUAUUCAAUAUAUCUAGAAUCCAAUGUGGCAUUUUAUUAGCUUUUAGAUACCAAACCUUGCUAUUGACUGUUCAUACAUAUGUUUCUAAUCACUGGUAGACUUCAUAACUUUUAGACAUUUUUGACCUUUGUAAAUUCAUAUUACAUAUUGUAUUCAGUUUCUUAUCUCAAAUAUUAUAGAACUAUAUUAUUAUAGGUUGCUGGAACAUGAUCUGGAUUCAAAAUGGUUGGCUAUUGUUGAUAUAUCUUGUUCUCCCCACAAUUUUAUGUUCUACAUGAGUGGAGAGAUCAUAUAGCUCAUGAGAAAGAUGAGGGUACUGGUUAGUGGUUGUAUACUGCCAAAUAAAGCUUGAAUCGAGAUAGGUGUUGUUGUUUUUUUCUUUAUAUCCUGUUAUAAUGGUGCAAAAUUGGAUCUACAACUUUGCUAGCUCCCCCCCCCCCCCCCCCCCAAAAAAAUAAAGCAGAUACCUACAGAUGUUGGACAUUGUAAAAGAAUUGUAAAAUCAAAAUAUCCAUAUGUUGAGAACAAUGUUGUCGUAAUCGCUUACCUUA